Molecule: ribosomal RNA, 958 nt
Filed under: Streptococcus thermophilus
Lineage: Bacteria; Bacillati; Bacillota; Bacilli; Lactobacillales; Streptococcaceae
Description: bacterial SSU rRNA
Rfam family: Bacterial small subunit ribosomal RNA
Source: RNAcentral
CGGUGGCGGGCGUGCUAUACAUGCAAGUAGAACGCUGAAGAGAGGAGCUUGCUCUUCUUGGAUCGAGUUGCGAACGGGUGAGUAACGCGUAGGUAACCUGCCUUGUAGCGGGGGAUAACUAUUGGAAACGAUAGCUAAUACCGCAUAACAAUGGAUGACACAUGUCAUUUAUUUGAAAGGGGCAAUUGUUCCACUACAAGAUGGACCUGCGUUGUAUUAGCUAGUAGGUGAGGUAAUGGCUCACCUAGGCGACGAUACAUAGCCGACCUGAGAGGGUGAUCGGCCACACUGGGACUGAGACACGGCCCAGACUCCUACGGGAGGCAGCAGUAGGGAAUCUUCGGCAAUGGGGGCAACCCUGACCGAGCAACGCCGCGUGAGUGAAGAAGGUUUUCGGAUCGUAAAGCUCUGUUGUAAGUCAAGAACGGGUGUGAGAGUGGAAAGUUCACACUGUGACGGUAGCUUACCAGAAAGGGACGGCUAACUACGUGCCAGCAGCCGCGGUAAUACGUAGGUCCCGAGCGUUGUCCGGAUUUAUUGGGCGUAAAGCGAGCGCAGGCGGUUUGAUAAGUCUGAAGUUAAAGGCUGUGGCUCAACCAUAGUUCGCUUUGGAAACUGUCAAACUUGAGUGCAGAAGGGGAGAGUGGAAUUCCAUGUGUAGCGGUGAAAUGCGUAGAUAUAUGGAGGAACACCGGUGGCGAAAGCGGCUCUCUGGUCUGUAACUGACGCUGAGGCUCGAAAGCGUGGGGAGCGAACAGGAUUAGAUACCCUGGUAGUCCACGCCGUAAACGAUGAGUGCUAGGUGUUGGAUCCUUUCCGGGAUUCAGUGCCGCAGCUAACGCAUUAAGCACUCCGCCUGGGGGAGUACGACCGCAAGGUUGAAACUCAAAGGAAUUGACGGGGGGCCCGCACAAGUCGGUGGAGCAUGUGGUUUUAAUUUCGAAAGCAACGCGGAGAG